ACAAUAUGAAAUUCAGCAAUGUCUAUAUAAUACUUCGAUAUUUUUAUAAAACAAAAUAAACAUUGCAAGUCUUCCAAAAAAAAAGCUAUAUAAAUGAUGCUUCCUUAGCUUGUAAAGCAAUAUGUAUGAUGUAUGAAUAUGUACAUACAUGCUAACAAAUAUCUGGCAACUCCACCAAGAGUAGCUUGAGGUAAAAUAAUAGUGGUGAUACAACUUUAUCUUGACCUACAACUUAUGAUACCAUAGAGACCAUAUUUAACCAUAAAAUUGCAAGAUAUAUGACAAGAAUUUUCCAUAAUAAAUUGAAUGGCUAAACAAGAUUCGAAAGCAGUAUAGAUUAGGACGGAACUAUAACUAAAGAUGACAUAAAUUGAAUGGCUAAACAAGAUUCAAAAGCAGAAGCAACUUAUCUUCUAGCACAUACUAAAACAGGAUAGACUAAGAUGGAAUUAUAACUAAAGAUGACAAACUAAAAAGACAAGUAUACUGGAAAGUUCUCAUUAAGCAAUAAGAGAGGCAAUGAAAGGAAUACUUUUCUGUCAUUCCCUUGACCAGCAUGUCCAUCUUGUGCAAAGAAAGCCAGAAUCAAGUUUCCAAUAAAAGCACCAAUAUCAAAUCCCAUUGGUCCAUAAAAUGCAAACUCUGGAUCUAUGACCUGAGUUGAAUCAGGGGUAACCAUUACAGAACCAGUAUGGAGAUCUCCAUGUAUAAGAGCCUGAGCUCUUUCACAGAACCUACAUAAAGGGAUGUUUAAUAACUUGAUAAAGCAUAAAAUGGCAGUUACAGAAGGUAGCAUUAAAAGGAAAGGCAACCAUACUUAGAUUUCAAUUCAGCUACUUCAAUCUUCAAUAGAUUAUCCUCCCGGACAGUCUCCGCAUCACGGUCAAGAUAAGGUGAAGUCCAACGGUUAUAUUCAGAUACUUUAUAGGGGUCAGAAAAAACAACCUGCUCAGUGAGCCUGCAUAGUUCCACAUUCCCACAAAAUUCGGCCACUGCACAAAACAUUGAAUGUAAAUGAAUCAGCAUCAUAUCGCCAAGCUUCUAAAAGCCAUCAAUACUAGAAAAUAGCAUUUCUUUAAUCUAAAACAACACAUAUAUACUUGCUCCAAACAGACUAGUAGAGUUCUUCAUAUCCACAGGCAUAUAAAGAAGCAUUUUUUUUCUUAAUUCCAUGAGUUCCCAUGACUACUGGUAUUAAAAUCAUAUUCAUGGCAUUGCUAAAAUUGCACUAAGAAUUGACAAGAUCCGUGGUCAAGAAGAUCUAAACAUUGAAUGGCUACUGAAGGAAGAAGCUAUAUUGAGAUAAUUAGAAAUAGAUUAAUAUAAUACCAGGCUUAAACAUACACUUGCCAUUUACUCAAUGAAUAAGAAAAUAUACUUUUCCCCUUGUAAUCUUUGGUAUAUAGACAUUAUGGACCAAUCAUUUAUCAGAUAUAACAGAUAAUAAUAGCACCAGCAGCAAGCUUUCUAAAGCUCUAAUACAUUUCAAAUAUUGGAUAGUAGAUUAUACAACACUCCCUAAACUACCGAUAGUUUGAUAUGUUUCAUCAAACUUGAUGCAUUCGGGCCCAAAAUAUAACAAGAACUUUGUUAUGAAUCAAUGUUGCAACCAAGAAUUCCAUAAUAUGUAGUUUUAUUAGUGCACGAUCUAUAUCUAUAUAAAUCCUAACUUAUGAUCCCCAAAUGUACUUGCAGUGACAGCAUUCAAACUACACCAAAACCAAACUCAAAACAUAAAAACACUGAGAAAGAAAAUGCAUAUGAGUCCGUUACCAGCACGUUUGUGCUCUGUGGUUGACCGAUAUAGGAGAGAUGUGCAGAAAAGAGUCUUGGCCAUGUAUUCUGACAUAUGUUCCGCCAACAAAGGAUAUUCAAUCCCAGCAAUUAACCCUUUUCUCAGGAUUAUAUGGGGAGGCUCUAAAUACCGCAUUCCAAUCAAGGACAUGGUACGGUCAAAGUGAUAAACUUCAGGAACAUGUUCUGGGCAUAACGCACCAUGUUGUUUUAACGCUAACACUUCGAAAUAUGCUCUUUCCUUAGUCAUGGGCCAAGAUUCCCCAAUACAUCGUAUGUAGGGAAGUGCCUGUAUUCAACAUUUUACGCAUAAACUGGAAAAUCCCAUUUCAUAAUUUCGAGUAUUUAAAGAUUAAAAGGGAAAAAAAGAAGAAGAAGAAGAAGAAGAAGCGAAACCUGCUUGAUUACAAAAGAACCAGAAGGGGCAACGAUGAUGUAGACGAAAUUAAGAUUGCCAUCUCCAACUUCCUUAAUCUUUAAACCAUCAUAGUUGUCGACGAUCUUCGAUGACAAAGACGGCGUUGCUUUAAUGUAUUCGAUGAGCGACUUCUCGUCUAGUGGCCUGAACUCAGAAAACGCCAUUGACUUCCUUGUUUGAGGCAGUCCUUUUGAGGGGUUUUAAGAAGAAGUGAAGAAGCGAUGUACAGAGAUUUAAGGAAGAGAGAUGCGUGACUUAACUUCAAACGUUGGCACUGUAGACUGUAGAGUAAAAAGAAAAAAAGAUUCGAUAAUAGCGUCGAAGAUUUUUACAAUGGGUAAGCCAAUAGGGGAUCAGUGAAGUAUGGCCGGGCAAGCUGGUCGUGAAAUGAAAGAUGAUUUGAAUGAAACGCUUGCUUAUAGUUGUAGUGGAAACUACAGAGAAAAUAGAAACAAACCCAUCUAGGUGUGUAAUGAAGAAAACAAUAACAUGUUAAUUGUGAAAUGAACUUGGACACGUUUACGGUGACGUUCACUUCCACUUAGAAUAUUAAUACUUUUCUUUUUUGAGGGUAGGUUUGGUGAGCGGUAGGACACAAUGUAAUACGUUUAGUUUAUUUUUUGUUUUGAAUUAUUGUGUCUAGUCUCACUAUCACCGUUAUUUUUACACUAACAAUAGAUAAACACACCGCCCAUCUAAACUCACCCUUAAAUGUGGAUGUUAAAACUUGAUUAUUACUGAAUUUCGUAUUUUUGACUUUGUUGAGAUUUUUUUUUCUCCCUUCACUUGGGAGCAGUUUUUCCUUAUUUAUAAGUUACGAUUUCUUUGAUGUGACAUGCUAAGGGAUAGCUAGGUGUCAUGUAUAUAAUUGAGAACGGCACAUCUCCCCUUUAAGUUUGACACAUAUCCUAGACAUGUCUUUAAGAAAAGAUUCGCACCCAAGAGUAAUCAUACAUGUUCACGUGUCCUGCCUCUCAAGGUUGCGAGGCGUAUCCGCAUGCCUCCCUCGCGAGGUGCUAGUGUUUUACCUCACAAGGUUGCGAGGCAUUCCAUCGUGUUGACCUCUCAAGAUCGUGAAGGUGUCAGUUACGGAUCAAAUUUCAUGUCACGGGUUAUGAGGUAUUCUAUAACAACUUGUCCGUCACUUUGUUGAAGAAGAGUUAUAAAUUGACUUUUCUAAUACGCAAUCGCAUGCAUGAUUCAUUUAAUUAAAGGCUUACUAUGUAAGUUUUAAGCUUUAAUUGCUAUUUUUUCGUUUCCUUAAAAAUUUUUAUAAAUUCAAAUUUUUAAAAAUUUGUCUAAUCCCUAGAUUGUAGUUUAUCAUUAUCUUCCUAACAAUUUACUUCCAUGACUCGUCUUCUUAGUUUGACUUUAUUUUCUUACAAACUUGCUUAUUCAUUUUGGCUUCCUUGGGUUUCUUUUGCAGUUUCAAGCAGAUCUGGUAAAAGAAUAGCGAUUUACAAAAGGAGAGGAUAACUUAUGAAUAUAUAAAUCACUCAAUUUCUCUUUUAUUUUUAUCUUGGUUUGUUUAUCUAAUAUGGCUAGCAUUAGGAUGGGUUGGGGUAGUAGAGAUGGUGGCCAUAGUGGGCGUGGUAAUCAGGGCAGUGGGUUUGGUUUAGAAAAUGAAGGUGGUGGUCACAAGAAGUGUCACGAAGCAUGUGUACCUGUAGAGAGUAACAUAUACAAUUGCACAAAAAUAGAGGCAGAAAUGGUUCGACAUCUUUCCAUUCCGCGAAUCAAAUUGCCAAGCUUUGCUUUUAACUUUGAGAUUGUUAAAGGGGGAAAGAGGUUGAACGAUACCAAAUAAGGUUUAUUGUUGCCUUUACAUCUGUUAGAUGCGGGUUUUCAUCUUCCUCUUUAUCCUUUCUUCUGCACAGUUUUUUAGGAGUAUGGAAUUGCACCAGGACAACUUGUUGGCUUCUCUUGAUGGAUAUUGGUUGCGUAUUUCACUGAUUGGUGUCUAUGGGAUGAACCUCCCCUACAAUUCAUUGGAAAUGUUGUAUUUUUGCCCUUGAGAGGGAUGAAAAUCGAUUAUUAGGAAUUGAUCAUCAAACCUUCAGAUUAACCGGUGCAAAUACACAAGAGUAAAGAAAAAAUUUGGAGAGAAUUUUGAUUAUCCCAUAAAAAUGGUCUCUUCCAAGUACUAAUGUUUGUGUACAACGCCAACCCUUUGACUUUGAGCUCACAGUUGUUCAAUACACAAGGUUGUGUAAGGGUUGACUGAAGUCAAACAUCAUACUUCACGCUCAGAUCAAGACGCCCCUUUGAUGUUACACAAGGUUGUGUAACAUCGAUUUUUUGUGAUACUAGAAUCGACAAUUUUGGGACCCCAUUUUCUGAUAACUGAGUCUGUAAAUACUUAUGAGUCUAUUAUAGCAUUAUAUUAGAUUUCAGUAUAAGAAAGAAUUUUACUGAUUGGAUAGUUAAUUAAGGUACAAUGACUAAAUUGUAAAAGUAGUAAAAGUUAAUCGCUAUAGAAUUUCAAUUGCUAAAGGAUUAAAAUAAUAAUUCAACUAAGGCCUAAAUUUGAAAAUAAGCCAUUUUAGACAAUGGUGGACGAUUUGGUAUGAUUAUGUUAAAAAAUAAAAAUAUGUUAAAAAUAUAAUUUUAUUGUUAUAUGUAUAUUAGAUAAAAUUAAAGAAAACAAAAACAUUUCUUUCAUUUGCUUCCAUCUUUAUCACGAAAUCAAGAAGAGAAAUAGGGUUUUUAUGUUUCAAUUUCAUCCAUAAAUUGGUAAGUAAUUCUUAGUCUGUUUCUUGCAAUUUUUAUGUUUUUGAGAUCUUGGGAGGUUGAUUUAGCUAGCCCAAGGAUUAAAUUGUGAAGCUGUUAAAGUUUUUGAAAGUUUCCAUUGUUAAAUCUUGAAGCUCUUGGUACUAAACUGUUAGAUUUGAAGCUUAGACAUGAAAAAGGAGUAGUUUGUAAAUUGAAAUUUGUUACUUUUGAACAUAGGGACUAAAAUGCAAUAAUUUUGAUUUUGGCAUGAAUUUUCUAUAAUAGGUUUUGGUGGUCUAUAAAAGGAUGAAAUUGAGAUCAAUUUCGAAAUCGAAGCUCAAAUUUGAAAGUUAUGGAAAAUUUGAUUUUAAGGGCUAAAUUGAAUAAAAUACAAAAGUUAAAGGAAUAUUUGAUAAAUGAAAUUGAACUGAUAUAUGAUUAUAAUAUGUUGUCGUGGAAUGUUUGGAAUUGAUAGUUUGAAAUUAAUUGCUAUAUAGAUUAGGAUUUGACUCAAGUCGAUGAUAAUUGGGGAAAAGGAAAAAUUAUUGAUUUGUCCCUACGGUGCAUCUAAUCUGUUGAUUUUGUCAGGUAAGUUCAUAUGGUAUAAUUAUGCUUUGAUCCUUAUGCAUGUUAUAAUGUAACUACCUAUAAUUUUAAAUAACUUUGAUUUAAUUGCAAUUUAGUAUAAAAUGAGUAACUACCUAUAAUUUUAAAUAACUUUGAUUUAAUUGCAAUUUAGUACAAAAUAAGUGUGAUUUGGAUUAAAUUGAAAACAUAUAGCUUUGAACUUGUACGAUGGAAAUUGCCCUGAUGAAAUUUCAUAAAUGUAUCUUAUACAAGGUUACAAGUUAAUUUCCGAUUAUACCAAGCUCCAGCAUUUUUUGCGAACUCGAAGAUAUAUGUGACACAAAUUUAGCCAAGACAGGUAAUUUGUUGUGACUUUAUAGGUUUAGCCUGGACUGCUAACCUUACAUGUAUUUAUAACUCUAGCUAAUUUAUUUGACGUGUUAAUAUAAAGGUUAGCUCAGACGGGUAACCUAACACGAUCUUAUGCUCAGCUAGGAUGAGCCUUUGUUAAUACUUGUGCAAUUGAGUUGUUUAUUGAAUUUCAUCAGGUAAUUCAAUUAAUACGAAAGGUGAAAUGGAAAUGAGAUGUGUUGUGCAUAAUUUUCAAAUAUAUCAUAGUGAAAGAUCUAAUGUCAAGUUUGAAUAUUUAUUUAUCUAUGAAUGAGUUGUGGUUAGAUUGAAUAUGAGUAUAACUUUCCUUGUUGUAAUUGUGCUUUAUUAUACUAGGUAAACUUGGUUAGACAUGUUAGUUUUACAUAUGUACUUGUUAUUUGAGGUAAGUUAAUUGUUAUAUACAUAUGAGCUUACUAAGUGUCACACCCCAAAAAUUGAGCUAGUAGAAUUGGGUCAGAAAAUCGGGGAUUAGUGAACAAGGAACUAUAGUUAGGUUAGAUAAUUAAAUAAUUAGGAAUAAUUAAAUAAAAUAAUUAGAAUAAUUAGAAUUAAAAUUUUGGGUUAAGAAAUUGAAAUUGAGUUUUUGGGAAUUAAUUUGGUUAAAACGGAUUUUAAAAACGAGAUCGAAUUUGAAAAUAAUUUAGAGAAUAUGUUUUAAUUGAACAAAGGUCCUAUUUGAGAAAGGGAAGAAACUAGAGGUGGUUAAAUGGUCAAUAACCCAAUUUUUAAAAAUUGGUUGCCUAUUUAACCGCCCUUACUAUCCCUUCCCUCUCAUCUUCUCCAAUCAUUCAAAAUUUUCUUGAACACCGAAUUAGAUCUUUUCUCCCAAAAUUGAUUCAUCCUUUUUAAAUCUUAAGCUUCCUGAACACAAAUUCCUCUUUCAAUUUCAAAGAAUAAUCACGUUUCAUCCUCAAUUUCUCAAGAGAUCUCCACAUGUUUUAGCUCAAGUUCAUUUCAUAGCUCGUCGAUUUUGCAAAAUUCAGGUGAGAUACUAACUUUUUAUGAUUAAAAUAAGUAAUUUGUUAUUUCAAUUCGAGAUUUAAAUGAUUUAAUCAAGAUUUCAAUAGAUCAAGUGAUUUUAAGUUGAUUUUUGGCUUGAAAAUGUUGGAUCUCGUAUUACUUGGUUGAGCUUCAGUUUUGAACUGUUUUCUAACUCAUUUUGAUCUAAUUAGAAGGUUUUUAACCUUGAUUUAACAAAUCCUUUGGUAAUUUAAACAAAUUGAGUGUUUCCCUCUUCUUGAUGUUCAUAUAAGCUUAAUUUUUUGAAAAAAUUAGAUCCGUGCAAUUAAAUAAAUAGAUGGUUUAGAUCUAUAAUUAGGUGAUAUUUAGGAGGUAUGAAGUUGAAAUCUAAGCUUGGAAAUUAGAUUUGAGUGGUUAAAUAUCUAUUUUGGCAAAACUACCUAAGUUUUCAAUAUUGAAGUUAGUACAUUGUGAUCUAUGAUUUUUGAGGGAUUUAAUAGUGUUUUAUGUUAUUUAUAAUGUCUUCGUAUUAUGUUUAAUGUGUAUGUGAAAUGUCAACUCAAUUGGAAGCCUCCACAAGCAAAGACAAAGGCAAGCAAAAGCUUUGUUGUACAAGCAAGUUGCUAAGGUGAGUAGUCUUGUGUGCUAUAAUUGAUGUGAAAAUCAAUUAGUUAAAGGGGACUUAGGUGGUCUAAUCAUCUAAUCUAAGUCCUUAAUUAAACAAAAAUUUCAUCAUCACUUUUGUUUCACCAUCUUCCAUCGAAAGUACAAAAGAAAAACAACCAAAACACCUUUUUUGGAGCUCCAGGCAUUCAACCUUUGCAUUGUAAGUGUAUCAGAGUUCAUAAAUUUUAUAUCUUUGAGAUUGUGGUAACUUGAUUUAGCUAAUUUGGGUUCUAUUUCACAAAAUUGUUAAAGUUUUUAAAAGUUUUCAUUGUUGUUUUCUUAAAGCUUUUGAUGUUAAAUGGUUAGAUGUUAAGCUUAGAUGUUAAAAAUGACUAAUUUGUAAAGUAAAAUUAUUGUUUUCUGUAAAAGAGGACUACAGCGUAAACAGUGUAAACAGUGGCAUGAAAUUUCUAUGAUAAUGGAUGGUAUUAGAGAGUCAUAGAAGGAUGUUUUUGUAAAUGGAUUAUAAAAUAGUGCUCUAAUGUAAAAGUUAUGAUUGUUUCAGGUUUAGGGCCUAAAUUGAAUAAAAUGUGAAACUUUAGAUAACUUUUGAAAAAUUAAAAAUUUACAUGUCCUAAGCAUGAAAUAGGGUGUUAAAAGGUAUUUGAAACUAAUAAGUUGAAAUGAAUUACUGUAUAAAUCAAAAUUUAACUGAAAUUUUAAAAUGAAAUUAUAGAUUUUUAAAAGGAUCUACGCAAUCUGGAAAACUCCAACAUUUUUUUUAUUUAAUGAGGGAGAAAUGGGAAUGUGGAGAAAAGAGCAAGGCUCAACCAUCUUUGUGGGAUGACUUCGUAAUCAACAAAUUUUAUUAGUCAUGUAUACCUUUUAUUUUUCAAAUAAUUUUUCUCUAAUUUUUUUCUCGAAACUUAACACUACUUACACUAAUAGAUUCCACAUUUUCUUUUUUAUUAAAUAAUUUUUUAUGCUCUACGGUUUCUUUUUCAAUGAUCAAAUGCUAUACACAAUUAUUUUGUUAUAAUCUUAAUUUACAUGAUUAUUACAUUUCUUUUUCUAAUAGUAAUUUAAGAUACAAAGAAAUGUAUUUUACCAUCCUACUAUUGACAAACAAAUUAUAUCAAACUGAGGUACGUUCAUAAUAUGAGUGCAUGAUAAAAUGUAACAUUGAUAGACAAUAUUUGUAAUGAAUAAAAAGGAGAGAUUAUUGAUAUAUAUUUGGAACCACGAGUUUAUUCAAUAAGGAAAUAUUUGGUACAUGGAAGACAUAGCUUUAAUACAUGUUCUUAUUUUAUAAUGGCUCCCCCCAACAAAGACGUAAAAAGUAACAUAUUUUAGUCUCAUUCUUAGUGUAUUUUUGAGUGAUUAUGUGGUAUUAAUUGUGAAUUAUAUACUCCUGAUCAUUUAUAUUCAUAUUUUGAUGUUUAAUAGGGUGCUUAGGAGCAAUAGGAGUGAAAAACAAUAAAAAUUAGAAUAUUGGAGUAUUUGAAAGCCCUAAACCUUAAACAUUGUGCGCUAACAACUGAAAUUUAUGAUUUUUAGGGGUUUUACCCGAAGUUCAUGAGAAUUUUCAUAGCCACCAAAAAGGAAAAGUAAAUUAGAGAUCCUAGAGAGUUAGACUAUCAUCUUGGAAGGAAGAAAUUAGAUGUAGAAAUGGAGAAAGUUAAGAAGAAAGUAAAGAUAUUAAAGAGACAAGGUAAGAACUCAAGUAUGUUUAUAGAAUUCAUGUUUAAUUGAAGUAGAGACAUAAGAAAAUGAUUUGUAGUAUGAGUUUUGAUCAUGUAUUUGUGUAUUCAUGAAGUAGAAAAAGAGAAGAAAUGAUGAAAGUGUAGGAAACAAAGUGAAGGUGGUGAGAAAUGUGAGGAAAGAAGAGAAUUAAAGCAAAAUUAGUUAAAUUCUACAAUAGAGAGAUAAGUACAUCAAGAAACUUGCCUUACUUGUAACAGUCCGAUUUUGGGUCUAGCCAGAACAGUGGUUUCGGGACCACAAAUUUGACGAGGAAAAAUUUAUUUAUAUUAUAUUUUUAUGGCCUACAAUUUCACGAAAUGAUUUCAUGAAAAUAUCGUUCGAAAAAUUUCGACGUUUGGCACUCAAUUUAGUCAAAAGGACUAAAUUGUAAAAAGUGCAAAAGUUGAUUUCUACGUGUUAAAGGUAUUUAAUUAUUAUGAAAUUAUAAAUUGGGGAUCCUUAUAUGGUAAUUAGACCAUUGGUUAAGUUGUUGGACAAAAAUGGACAUGAGAUAAGUGAAAUAGGAAAAUUUUAAGUUAAGGGCAUUUUGGUAAUUUGGUAAUUAAAAUGUAUUAAAAAGACAAAAUAGGCCAAAAAAUCAUCAUCUUCAACCCCAUGGCCGAAUUUUACAAGGUGAGAAGCCAUAGUUAGGGUUUUCAAGCUUCCAAGCUCCAUAGUAAGUGAUUCUAAGCCCGUUUUUAAUGUUCUUUACGUUUUUGGAGUUCCGGUAACUUGUUUUAGCUAUUUCUAGCAAUAAUUUAACAUAGGUUUUAUAUUUCGAAAAAUACCCAUAGGUGAAAUAUGUUUAUUUUGAUGUUUUAUGAUAAAAUAUGAAGCUAGAAAUUAUGUUAAACAACUUUUGCUAAGCGAUUUUAAGUGAAAACGAGUAAAAUGACAUAAUCGGUAAAAAUACCUAAUGUUCAUAAGUAAGUGUUAGAGUGAGAAUUUGAUGUUGCCAAAGAAGGGGAAAAUGUUCAGUAUGUCAUAGAACAUAAGAAUAAUAGAUGAAAUUUAAUUUUCGAGCUUUGGGGCAAAAGUGUAAAUAAGCAAAAAUUUAGGGGCAAAAUUGUAAUUUUUCCAAAGUACGAUUUUUGGAUCAGAUUAAUUAAUGUGAGUGCUAAAUAAGUUAAAUUUGUUGUUAUAAGAUGUGAAAUGUAAGAAAUUGACUUUAAUCAGUGAAAAAGAAAAUGAGAAAAAGUGAGUAAAGUUCUCGAUUGAACACUCGGAUUAGACCGGGAUUCUUUGAAUGUAAGGGGUUGCUAAGUGUAGAUUCUCCGAGUCAUUGAUCAAAAAAGAGUUGCUAAGUGCCGAUUCCCUAAAUCAUAGAUCAAAAAAUGGUUGCUAAGUGCAGAUUCUCCGAAUCAUUGAUCAAAAAGGGGUUGCUAAGUGCAGAUUCCCAAAAUUAUUGAUCAAAAAGGGGUUACUAUGUGUUGAUUUCCCAUAUCGCUAACUACAAGGUGGUUGCUAAGUGCUGAUUCCACCGUAUCCUUGAUGGUGAAAGGGGUUGCUAUGUGUUGAUUCCCCGUAUCACUGAAUAUAAAGUGGUUGCUAAGUGCUGAUUCCACCGUAUCAUUGAUGGUGAAAGGGGUUGCUAUGUGUUGAUUCCCCGUAUCACUGAUUAUAAGGUGGUUGCUAAGUACUGAUUCCACCGUGUAAUGGUUAAUAUUCCGAGGUGUUCAUCGGGGAAAUUGACUAAGUGAAAAUACAUGAGAUCAUGUACCGAUUAAGUGCAAUUGACUAAUGAAUAUAUGUGUGGAAUUGAAUUGAAUAUUCACUAGAAAAUGAAAAAGUGAAAUUUAAAUUAAAUAGUGAUUACAAGUGAAAAAGUGAAAUUAUGAAAAAGUAGAAUUAGCAACAAAACAGUUUUGGACAGUAAUAGUAGUGUAACUUUGAAAAAUUACCAAAAAUAGUAGAAAUUGAAUUAGAGAGUGAAUAAGAUAUUAAAUGAAAGCUUAAUGAGUCUAUUUUUACAUAAAAGAAACAUAGCAAGUAAAAGAGUUAUAUAUUUUGAGAUAUUUGAAUUUUAGUGAAGCACGGUGGGAUUGAUUUCAGAAUCCCCUAUUCUAAUUUUGAAAAAUAAUUAUAAAUUGUAAAAAAAUAAUUAUGAGUUAUAAUAUAUAUACUUAGAAUCCUUAACGAGUCUAUUUUCAAAGGAAUCAAAUAGAAACAUCAUCUAAAUUUCGUACAAUGAGAUAAUUCAUUUUUAGUGAAGAGUGGUCGGAACUGUUAGACAGCAAAAUAGGGGACAUUUGAAGAAUAAACUGUACUAUUUGGAUGAACCAAAAAUUCUAAAAAUUUUAUUGUAAUAAGAUAUAUGAGUCUAGUUUCAGGAAAAAUUAACGGAUAUUAAUUUGGAGCUCUGUAGCUCUAGAUAAAAAUAAUUUAGUGACUCUGACUCAAACAGGUAGCUUUGAAUAUAUAUGUGAGUGAAUAGUGAAAAUAUAGAAAAUAUUAUUUAUAAGAGUGUUAUGUACAUUAAGGAUGUGGAAUGGGGAGGAGGAGGAGGAAAAUAAAAUAUAUGAAUGGUUUAUGUAUAAUUGGUCAUAUACUCAUUCAUAAUCGAUAGACGUCGAAUUGAAUGGUAAAUUCGUAUUGGUAUUGAAUUUAUUAAUAACAGUUGUUGAAUUUUGAAUAAGAUGAUUAGUAAAUAAAAAUAAGGUUAACAUCGAUAUUGAAUUGUUUGUGAGUUGAAUGGAAAUUAUUAUUGAUAUGAUUUGAAUUAAAAGAAUUAUUGUGGUAUUGAAAUGCAAAUUGGGUUGAGAAAUUAAUCUGAAUUGUGAACAUGAAGAAUUGUGAAUUGAAUGGAAUUGAAAUAAAGCAUUGAAUUGUUAAGAAUAGUGAAUUGCAUGAUUGUGUAUUGAACCUUGUAAGCCCUAUUUUGGCUUAAUUAGUUAUUAUAAAAAUUAGCCAUGUAAGUGGGCUUAUAAAUGAUGUAUAGGCUAGUUUUAUUAUGGAUAGUUUUAAAUUAUAUAAGUAGCCAUGCGAAAUGACUUGAGAGUGAAAUUAAUGAUGAUUUAUACGUAGUUAGCUCCAUUUGGGAAGUAGACUAUGAUAUAUUUUGUGUGAUGACAAUGUAGUUAAUGGAAGAGUUUUUGUUUUGUGGUAUAUGCUCCUAUAAGAUAUGAGGUGAUUAGGUUAUUACUUGUGAAUUAGUCAUUAUGGUACAUAGACAAUACUGAAUGAUGAUCAUGCUUUAUGAAAUAUCUAUCGUCAUAAGGAUGAUUAUAAAAUAUCUUGUUAUUAGAAUUAUUUGGUUAUGAGAUAUUAUAAAAUUGUGAGAUUUAAUGGUUAUAUUGAUAUAAAUUUUAAGUUUAAUUUGCUAGUCGAAUAAAGGAGAAAUGAGUUUGUUGACGGUUGCGUGUACGAAAUUUUGGCAUAUGUUCGAUAAGUGUAAUGUAGUAAUAUGUGAAAUUAAUAUGAAAAGAUUUAUAAUUGUUAUUAGUGUUGAUUUUGGCAUAAUGUGGAUUAUUCAAUGUUAAAUUAAUUUAAUGAAUAAAUUGAGUAUAUGAAUGAGUUUAUAUCGAGUCUCGUAGGCUCUAUUUAUUAUGAAUAUAUUAUUUCGAGGACAUAUUGUAAAGAACUAUAAAAGCAUGUUAAUAAUUUGAAAAGUUUUAAAUUGGAUGAAAGUAUACAACUCGAUUUAAUACGUUUAGAAGUGUAUGUGUUCUGGUAAUGUCUCGUACCCUAUUUCGGCGUCGAAUACGGAUAAGGGGUGUUACAUUACUCAAUUAAAUGUAUGUGUGAUUUUUAUUUAAAUUGUUGUAUUAAAGUUUUUAAGAUUUAAUUAUAUAUAGGAAAAUAUUAAUAUUUAUUAAGAAAAUAAUUAGAAAGAAGUGAACAUAUGAAUUUAACCUUAGCAACAAAGUGAAUAGAUUAAAUGGAGUGAAAUUAAAGUAAAAAAGACUAAAUUGAAAAGUGUACAAAAGUUUGUGUGAAUUGAAGUAAUACGAUAAAGAGUUUAAAUGAAGUGCUAAGUGUUAGUAAGUUAAAUACAAAGUAAUAUUGAAGAGAUAUUAUAGUUAUUAUUGAAUCAUAUAUUGCUAAGGACUAAAUUGUAAAAUAUUCAAAAGUGAUUAAGUGUACUAAAAUUUUGAAAUAACAUAUCUAAAUGUAAUGAUAUAUGAAAGUGACCAAUGAAAAGGAACUAAAUUGCAAAAUAUGCUAAAUAGAGAAGUAAGAUAAAUUACUGUUUUGAUAUAUGAGAAAGUGUGUUAUAUUUCAUGUAUCAGGUAAAUAUUAUUGUAGUGCUUAUUGACUUUUUAUAACAAUGAUUCAAAAGUAUGUAAGUUCUAUUCUAAAAUGUAAAAGUGAAGUUGAUUCUAUUAUAUUUUCCCAUGUAGACAAGAUAAGAACUACUAGUGUCACGGGGCUAGACCUUUCGUCUCGCAAUCCGUGCGACCUUAGGCGAUCCGUUCGUCCAAACUCGCCCAAGUCAGCCUUAACUCAAGUAAGGAUUCUUUUAGAACUCCUCUAAGGUACCAAAUUGAAGAGCGGAAGCGAUUUAUGCCAAAAGAAGAAUAACAAAGAACAACAAAAAGAACGCUCACAAAGUGUUUGAGUAAAUGCUCUCUAUUUCUCUUAUUCACAAAGAAUAAUGAAACAAUGAAUGGAGUGAGUACAAAUGAGGGGGAGGCUCUCUAUUUAUAGUUGAGCUCCCCCAAAAUCGACGGUCAAGAUACAAUUACAUCGACGGAUGAGAUUAACCAUAUCUCUUAAUUUUAGGGAUUUACAAGAUAAGCCUUAUCAAAUCUAAUCUAAUCUUUACAGGAUAAGAUUCCCUCUAUCUCCUAAGAUUAGUUACCAUAUUAGCCUAAGUUGCCAUCUCUUCGUUAUCGGGCCAACUAGGCUUCAAUCUGACAGGCUUCUCCAAUAUUUCUUUGAAUCGGGCCAAUUCUCGUAGGCUAAAUGAUCCCCAUCUGAGUAAUAGACCCCAUUGGAUGCAUUUGGUGUAAUGGUCACGGGCUUUAAACUACGGCCUGUGACAUUCUCCCCCACCCAUUCUCGCAACGUCCUCGUUGCGACUUCCGAAUGGCACUGUCUGGUUUUGCAUCGGUCUCGUCUCAACGCUUUAGCCUUUCCCUUCCUUCGAGACUUUUGCUUCGGCUUACGUCGCUUCUUAACUCGAGCCGUCCUACUUAUUGCAUUUACUCUGGUCAACUAUCCCACAUGCAUCACUUCCUUUUCCUUGAAGUCUGAUGCACCACCCACCUCUCCCAUAGGUGGAAGCCUUGUCGAUGACUCGACCAAUUCCGACGCUUUACUCAACUUGAGCCUCAUUGGUCCCAGCUUCACUGUUUUCAUCGCAACUCUUUCCUCUAAGUCCGAUGACAAACUCACCUCUUCCUUAGGUGGAAGCCCCUCUGAUGACUUACCAAGCUCAGACGUUGCCAUUCUUUUGACUCCAGCUUGCUUUGGACAGUUCCGCAACUCAUGCGGACCACGGUACAAGAAGCACUUUACUCGCUUCUUUUCACUCUUCUUUGCCCUCUUGGCUUCGGAAUUUCCUUUGCUCAAACCAAGCUUCUUGGGCUCCUUGUCUGCUCCAUCGUUCCCCUCGAUGACAGACUUUCUCAGACACUUCUGCAACCUAUGCGGACCAUGACACAAGAAGCACUCCAUUGGCUUCUUCUCGCUUUUGGCCUUCUUGGCUUCGACACCCCUUGCGCUCGAACCAAGUACCAAGGCCUUACCCACCGGCUUCUCCUUAAGCGCGAAUUUCCUCGGACAUUUCUUCAACAUGUGUGGACCGUCGCACAGAAAGCAUUUCAGUUCCCUUUUCCUCUUGGGUUUCUUCUUCCCAACUCGUGGUUUCCCAUUAUCACCAUUGUUGCUGUUGCCAUUGCCAUCAACAAUAUCUUCCUUGUGAUCCAUUUCACAUACACCCCUUUCCUCGGACUUGGAAGACCCAAGCUUGUCUUUCCCUAAACCAAGCUUAACCACAGACUCAACUACCGUCAUGGCUUCCGAUAGCUUUUGGACACCUAUUUGUUCCACCUCUUGUCUGACCCACGGCUUCAAUCCCUUCUGAAAAGCAAGCAAUGUUUUUUCCUCGGUCACAUCUGAAACUUGGAGCAUGAGUUCCUUGAACUCUUAAACAUACUCCCCCACUGUGCCCCGUUGCGUUAUCCCUUGUAACUUUGCUCGAGCUUCUUCCUCAGCAAAUUCUAGGUAAAACUGUCCCUUCAACUCGCAUUGGAACUCUUGCCACGUCCCAAUCUUACCCUGUCUUUUAUCUAUGGUCCUACCUCGCCACCAUAAAAGCGCAAUGUCAGUAAGAAACAUUAAAGCAGUGUUUACCUUAACCGCAUCAUCCAUGAUGCCUUUGGCACGGAAGUAGUUUUCCAUCCUCCAUAAGAAAUUGUCCACAUCGCAUGCAGACCUUGUCCCCACAAACUCUUUCGGCUUUGGGACAUCCUCAUUACUGAGUGCUGCAUUUGCCACUCCUUUCCCCACGGCUGCUCGACACAAGGCCAGCUCUCCCUCGAGCUCCUCUAUUCUUGUGCUCAAAGCCCUCGUCGUGGCCAUUGUUUCCUCCUUCAAAUCCAUCAUCAUGGCCUCGAGAGCAUCAUUCCUUUCCGACAGCUUAUCCCUAUGUGAAUUAAACAACUCGUUUACCUUAUCCAUGUUGGAACCAAAAGACAUCUUUACAUAGUCUCUGGACUACUCCUUCCAGUUUGCUAUGCGAUCCUCGACCCCAUCGAGUGCCUCCUUUACAUCCUCCAUGGAUCCCUCGAGUUUACCCACACGUUCCUCUACUGCCGAUAAUGUCUCCCUCAAAGACCUCCUCGCCCACCUUUGUUCGAACUCUUCUCUCGACAUCCCAACGGUGCCUUCGAACCAAUAACUCAGAUAUCUCUUGGUUCGAACCAACAGCUCGGAUACCACUUGUCACGGGGCUAGACCUUUCGUCUCGCAAUCCGUCGAGACAUAUCUUGCACGUAAGAUGAAUAAUACGAUAAUUAUAAGGUAUUAUAUGGUUUAUGAGUUUUAGUUAAUGUUUGAAUUGAUUGUGGGCUAUUGAGUAUGGUUUAGAAGUGUUUAAAAGCAUAGUUUUCAGGUCUCUUGUCUCAGGUAUCAAGAUAUGCAAAAUGUGUCUCGAGACACAAAAACUUCAAUGCUAAAAAUCAACAAUAACUGAAGCAUGUCUCGAUACCUAUACUCAUAUGUCCCAAGACAAGGUAAUUUCAAAGCCAAAUUUCUACAAUGUCAAAACAAUGUCUCUAGACAUUGAAGUCUUGGUCUCAAGACAUACAAGCCUACAAUUGAAUUUUUUUUUAGUUGGGCUAAAAAGGACCUAAAACGAAUAUGCAAUUAAACUCUAAUAUUAGUCUAGUUAUGUCCUUAAACAUGUAAAUUAGAAGUAUUUUAUGUUGUAAAAGAAUGUUCAACCUUAAAUGUAACAUUCGUUGCUCGAGUUUUCUCAAGUAAGGGGUGGUGCAGAAAAUCAUUGGUUGGAAGGCAAUUAUUGCAAAUUUCCAAAGGAAAAUGAUAAUUUUGUAAGGAAGUUUUGAGUUUCCAAAUAUUGGUCCACGCUUAGUGCAGAGCUGAUCCCACAGGGGUAAUAGUGCUAGGCUGAUACAAUGGGUAUAAGCAUUCUUCAUAAAGACAGAACCAUUAAAAUUAAAUUUCCAUACAAUUCUGUCUUCAACCCCUUGGAUUAAGAGGGUCCUGCUGAGGAGGACAGAGGCUCAACCAUGAUCGAGUAGAUAAUUGAUUUCUUUUGGUCCCAAUUGUUGAUGUGUGUGAAGAGGCAUGAUUCAACUUCAAUGGUAAAGGCAAGUAAUUUGACAUUGUCUACGAGAGGGAAAAUUUCCUUUUUCCUGUGAAGGCUCCCCAGUUCCAAACCUAAAUAUUUCCACGGUUGGUCAACUCUUUUUGCAUUUAGAAUACAGCUAUACCAUCUUUUGGCCAUCAAGAAAGAGUUCAGAUUUAUCAAAAUUGAUUUGGAGCCCCGACAGGUAAAAAGAAAAAUUAAAAUCAGUUUUGAAGGAUCUGCGGAUCUAAUUAGAAGAGUUAAAAAGAUAAAAGAGAGGAUAUUCAUGCAGAGAACAAAAGGGGAUCAACUUAACUCAGGCCUCUAACCGUAGUAAAGCUUUUAAAAAGUGAGCCAUCCAUUCUUUAUAGGACAAGGACAAAAAAAUUCAUUUGACUUAAACUAUAGGACUCGGCAGAAUAUAUUUUGGGUGUUUUGCAACAGCACCAGUUCGGUCCAGCACUAGUGUUAGAUAGACAGCAACCUUUGCUCAUUAACACACAAUCAAAGGCCUAUGCCUAAAGGACCAUGAAAACUUUAUUAAAUUAUGGAUCCUGUAAAACCUUCCAUCUAUUUAAGCGCAAAAGCUUUUAUGGAUACGUGCACAGCAGUUUCCAUCAUUUCCAUCAUGAUUGGACGUGCUUCAUGGCUGAAAUAACUUCACUAAUCGACACAAACUCUCGCCUCCUCUUCAGAAGUGUCUUGCCUAAUUCAAGAGCCCGUUGCUCGCAAUGUGCUCUUAUGUUAGCUUCUUUAAUUGAUUCAAAAUCCUCAACAUGAGCAACACCUACAAUUCUCCUGCAAGUUAUUAGAAGAUAAAAACAACAACAACAUUAGAACUUACAAAAUUCUUGGAGUUCAUUAGAUAAAUUUAACAAAAUAGGAUCCUGCAUGUCAUCGUAGGUAGAAGAGACUGGUUCUAUGAUUGCUAUUCAAUCUGUAGAGGAAGACUCCUCUAUCUGAUUGCCAGAAUUUUCUGACGAAAAAGCCAUUCUACAAAAUUUUCAAGCUCAGGGUUCUGAUCAUCGAGGUUUCAAAAGUUACAUCUCGUCAAUAUUUCCUAGUCAACUCAAGAAUCUAUUUCCUUUUACCGUCAACAAAAAAUUUACAUGUCAAGGUUCACAGUUUAAGAGUCAAUUAAGAUAAAGUACAAGGUUGAGAAUAUAGGGAAAAAAGUAAAAAGUCUAGAAGGCGGUGUUAAUUCAAAGACAUAAAUAUAACAGCAAUGGACUGAAAUGCAAGUUUCCAGACUGCCAUAAGAAAGAUAAACACGGAAUUAUGAAGGCCAGGAACAUAGAAAAAGUAGAGAACCUGAUAGAAAACCAUUUCCUCACCUUAUCAUCUUAGCAGCACCAAACCCAAGAGUAUCGUGGAACAAUUCCUUCAUAUACUUUUCCUGUAUAAGUUUCUGAAGGUCAGUAUUGUUAUAAAUUGCAGGAAGAUCAGCCUCCCCAGAGCCAUUUUUGUGUUCGUCCCAUAGUGCAGUAAACUUUUGGUGGAAAAGAUUCCAAGUAUCCUCAAUUGUCUUCAAUAUCCACUCUUUGUAUGACUAUGACAAUAUGAAAUUCAGCAAUGUCAAUAUAAUACUUUGAUAUUUUUAUAAAACAAAAUAAACAUUGCAAGUCUUCCAAAAAAAAACCUAUAUAAAUGAUGCUUCCUUAGCUUGUAAAGCAAUAUGUAUGAUGUAUGAAUAUGUACCAAGAGUAGCUUGAGAUAAAAUAAUAGUGGUGAUACAACUUUAUCUUGACCUACAACUUAUGAUACCAUAGAGACCACAUUUAACGAUAAAAUCGCAAGAUAUAUGACAAGAAUUUUCCAUAAUAAAUUGAAUGGCUAAACAAGAUUCGAAAGCAGAAGCAACUCAGCUUCUAGCACCUAUUAAAACAGUAUAGAUUAGGAUGGAACUAUAACUAAAGAUGACAUAAAUUGAAUGGCUAAACAAGAUUCAAAAGCAGAAGCAACUUAGCUUCUAGCACAUACUAAAACAGGAUAGACUAAGAUGGAAUUAUAACUAAAGAUGACAAACUAAAAAGACAAGUAUACUGGAAAGUUCUCAUUAAGCAAUAAGAGAG
This 19018-nucleotide long non-coding RNA is filed under the name Gossypium barbadense (sea-island cotton). Its description in RNAcentral is "long non-coding RNA (GBAR_LNC021419)". The record is from RNAcentral. Lineage: Eukaryota; Viridiplantae; Streptophyta; Magnoliopsida; Malvales; Malvaceae.